RNAcentral lists this ribosomal RNA (300 nucleotides) under uncultured Bacillus sp. RNAcentral describes it as "bacterial SSU rRNA". It matches the Rfam family "Bacterial small subunit ribosomal RNA", at positions 496 to 795 of the family's 1533-position model. The record is from RNAcentral. Lineage: Bacteria; Bacillati; Bacillota; Bacilli; Caryophanales; Bacillaceae.
GUGAAAUUAGGGACAGCGGGCGCGGUAAUGAGUUGGGACUGAGCGUGGGCCAGAAUGAUGUGGCGUGAAGGGCGGGUGUGCGGGCCCUUAAGGCCUGGGUGAAAUCCCGCGGCUCAACCGCAGACGGUCGUGGGAAACGGGAGGGCUAGAGUGCGGGAGAGGAGAGUGGAAUUCCCGGUGUAGCGGUGAAAUGCGCAGAUAUCGGGAAGAACACCCGUGGCGAAGGCGGCUCUCUGGAACGCAACUGACGCUGAGACGCGAAAGCGUGGGGAGCAAACAGGAUUAGAUACCCUGGUAGUC